CGUGUAGAAGAGGGAGAGAGCACAGGUUGGGAAGGCACUGCGUCUGUGGACCAGGCCUUGCUCCCCCAACGACCACCCUGCAGUCCCCUCUGUUCCAUCCUUUUUCUGCAGAGUUCAUGCCAUUGCCAGAUCAGGGCAGUCAACAGGGAGAGGGAGUUUCCCUUGUGAUCUCUGCCAGGGCACCUUGCCUGGGGUGCUGAGGGCUGUCCAGACCCCACAGCUGGCUUCCCUGGGCCCCAAGGGACUUGAGCAUGCCUUUGGACGCCCUUAGCCUCCCCCGCUGUUCUUUUCCUAAGUGUGCCCUGAAAAAAAUCUCAUGCAAAAGAGUCAAACUGUGGUUGCUGUUUGCUGGCCACCUGUCCUGAUGACAAGAGGAAAUUGGGUUACCCCGCUGGACCUCAAGUCUUCACUUCUUCCCCAAAAGUUGCAGGUGUGCAGCAUACUAUCUUUAACCCUGUGGCUGUCACAGGAGCACUUGACAAGGCUGUGCACCCAUUUGUGUGGGGCAUGAUGACCAGGUCAUCUCCAACCCAUCUGUUGAUAAGCACAGUUUCACAUUCUCUGUGUUUUCUCGGGCAUUUUGUCUCAAGCGGUGGGCAUGCGCUGUCUUGUUUAUGGAAACAGGCAUACCUCAUGUCUACAAAGGACAAAAAAAAAAAAGGCUUUGAGGGAAAACCUCAGUUCCUUCCUGCUGGGGGACCAUGCUGCAGGACUUUGUCAGUUUUGUACUCACUGUUUUACUAUUUGUUUUAGGGCUACAGCGAGUAGGCAUCCAAUUUUAAAUGCACAUCAGGGCUUUCAAAAGACUUUUAAUGUACAGUGGCUGGUGCAGUUCCUUUGCAUUGUAAAAUUGCACCGUUUCUUACGGUUCAUGUGUAUUUGCAGUAAGAGUCUAACCUUCAAACUCUGUUCUCAACAGGAUUUAUGUUUGCUUUGGAAUCUUCCUUGAACAUUAUUUAUCCUUAUAUCACCUGGUUUGUGGACACAGUGAUAAGAUCUCAAGCUGACAUCAUGGUUGUUGGGUGUCUAGGAUCUUGCUUGUGUUAGGGAUACUUUUUCAGGGCUGAGUAUUUGUCAUGGGCUCCUUCCCUGUCAAUUAACCAGAACUAACAACAGAUAUUCUGUACUGUGCCUGUUUUUUACAGCUGACAUGGAAACAGAAAUGGUGGGCCUCAUCACCUCCAGAGCUAGAAACGUACUGUGUGAUGAGUAUGUUGAUUAGCAUCAGGAAACUUUUAACUUGUAGGUAGUAUUCUUUGUUACUAGAAUGUAAUCUUUUAUACCUUGGCCUGAUGCCAUGGGAUAUAUUUAUUUUAAAAUAUUCUUCACUUUUCCCAACUAGUAAAUUAUGUUUAUAGAGAUAUAGUUAGUGAUACAGGUAAGAUAGUAGUAGUAGCACUGCUAAUUAUAUUAUUGUACAUAAAAAGUGAUAUCAAUAUUUUCAAGUACCAUUAAUAGUCCUAAAUGGUGUCAGAUACAGCCACCUUUGAUUUAAAUAUAGCUUGUAAACCUUGCCAAACCUUUUCCUCUUCUACAGAUUUUCAAGUUUUCAUUGGCUCUCAUUUUUGUUUAAAGGGAAACAGAAUCACUUAGAAGAACCAACAUAUCUGCAUUUAUAACAGUGGCUUUGGGGACACAGUUGGCACCUGCCCUCCUAGAUGGCCUGGGUAAAUGGCUGUUCUGUCUGGUUGGCUAAAGACAUAAACUAAUCUUGUGCACUGUUCCUCAUGUGGAGGAGAUGCUCAAGAUGGAUGUGUGUGUACACACACCACUGACUCUGAUGAUGACCACACACUUAGCAAUCUUUCGUUUUGCUUUUCCUUGAUAGAAGCCAGUGUUCUCCAAUGGCAUCUCCAGCUUUUAAGUGGCUGCCAUAUGUGUUUUGCAUUGCUCCCCAUGUAGGAGAAGAAUGUACAAGAAGAAACUAAAGCCAGAACUGAAUUUGAGACUCAGCGUUUAUUGUUUUCUCUCUUGGACCAUGCCACAUGGCAUGUGGUAUCUUAGUUCCUUGACCAGGGAUCAAACCUGGGCCACAUCUGUGGAUGUGCAGAGUCCUAACCCAUACUGGACUGCCAGAGAAUUCUGAAGACCUACUGUCUAUUGUAUCCAUCUGGAAGUUCUCAAUUCGAGAACUAUUGAAGCUGUACUUGAAGGGUUUUGAGCAUAACCUUACUAGCAUGGGAAGUAAGCACAAUUGUUUGUGUGUUACCAGAUGUGCAUUUAUUGAGCAGCUAGUAAGUGCAAGGGGCUGUGAAAAAUAAACACAUGACUAAGACAUUGACUUUGCCUUCAAGGAAUUUACACUCUGGUCAGAGAGAUGAGACAGCUCACAAUCACAUAAAAGUAGACAGAGUUAAGAGCUGUUACCAGGAGCUUCAAAGAGCCUGCUGGGAAAUCAAAGGAAGGGCUGCUCCCUUCCCAUGCAGAAUGGCCCUGAGAUUGACUUUGUCCAUGAGGAGAUAAGGAAGGACAGUUUAAGUAGAAGCUACAGAGGGAAAAAGGCAAAAUAUCUAUAUCUAUAUCUAUAUCUAUAUCUAUAUCUAUAUCUAUCUCCAGGGAGCUGUUGCAUAUUCAUUUGGCUGGCUGCAAGAGAGGGACUGUGACAGGAGACCGUGGGUCCAUGGUGUGUGUGUGCCUGAGUGUGUAUGUGAGUAGGGAGCUGUUGGCUGCAGGCAGACAGUAGCAGAAGGUGAGGGUAGCAUGCAGCAUUGUGGCCACACUGUUAGCAACCUUGGCUAUUCAGGCAGAGAAUGCAGACCCUAGGAGCUACUGUAAGUGAGCAGGGAGGGGCAUUAGACCUGUGGUCUAGGGCAAUUUCAUUUAUGUCCUGAGUCAGAGGGAUGGGACCAGGAAGUCCAGUUUGGCAACUAGUUGGAAAAGGGAAGGUGAUGGUUUUAGCAAUCAAUAUAUUUGUAAGUAUAGGCAUUCAGAACCUCCCUGUGGUUUUGGAAUGAGCCAUUUCUCCUCAGUGGAGGUUUUUGUCUGAAUAUAGUUGUUUGAAAGUGUAAUAUAAAUGAUCUGGAAUAGGGAACUAUGUGCGUGCUUGGGAUCCAUCCUGAUUGAAUGGGUCUCAAGCCCUAGUGGGCCUAAGGAUUGAGCCUGGAACCCUCGGGAGAAUUUUUGAUUCUCUGAUAUGGGGGGUGGCCCAGGCCUCUGCACAUGGGUCAUUCUGAGGCUCUGCCCUUGGCACGUUGAGAAAUAUUGUUCCUGGCCACUGUGCAUGUAAAAAGGCAUGUGUCCCUACCUACCAGUGACCCACCUGCCACAGAGGCCGGAGAGACCUGGACAUGUGGAGGACCAGUGCCCCUGCCAUGGGUCCCUGACUGUGCUAGGCGUCUUCUAUACCUUCUCUCGUUUCACUCCCACAGUGGUUCUGAGGAAGGAAAUUCUUUAUUCUCACCUUUCAGGAAGGCCUGUGAAUACUUUUCAAGAGCAGAGCUCCCAACAUACUUCCUAGAAGAAUGUGGGGUCAUUGAGCAGUGACCCAGGAAGUUUCCAUGAUGUGGGUCUGAUUCCCAGGCUCCUCUAUGAAGUUGGAUGUGUUCAAGAGAGAAAUGUUGACUUUUCAAGUGUCCAGGUUUAACCAAGUUCAAAGAAAAAAGCCCUUCCUUGGAAACAGGAUUUUAGCUGGAGGCAUUACCUUUGCUUUGGUGCUACCCAGCCAGCUAGCAGUGUCCCAAGAAGAGAACCCCACCUCCUCUUCAUCCUCCAUCUGUCACUCUUGUCUGCUCUCACUGCUGAGCUCUGGCCACUGGACGCCUCCUUGCGAUUUGAUCAGAGGCCAUGUGCUAAGCAGGACUACAGUGCUGUGUGGCCCGUUUGACUCAGUCCUCUUGCCAUUGCAAGUCUAUCGCGGUUGCCUAAAAUAGCUCAGCAAGCUUUGUGCUAUCUCCAUGUCAUGCUUUGGGACACUCCUGGGUUGGAGGGCCGAGAUCAAUUCCUUCUGUUCCUACCACCACCCACGGCCAUCGAACUGUGCCUCUGCCCAGUGGGUCUCACCAGCAGACAUCCUGUGGUGGGAGAAUGGAGAAAAUGUUUGAUUUCCAGACACUCCUUUCCAGUGA
This is a long non-coding RNA of Bos grunniens (domestic yak), 4064 nucleotides long. Lineage: Eukaryota; Metazoa; Chordata; Mammalia; Artiodactyla; Bovidae. The record is from Ensembl.